This 3879-nucleotide long non-coding RNA is filed under the name Oreochromis niloticus (Nile tilapia). Its description in RNAcentral is "lncRNA (ENSONIG00000028807.1)". The record is from RNAcentral. Lineage: Eukaryota; Metazoa; Chordata; Actinopteri; Cichliformes; Cichlidae.
AAGGGGAACCGCGGCUGUCACUUUUAAGUCUCAGAACUCAGCUGACACCAGCGUGGAGGGUGGUGCUGGUGCAUGUUUGUAUACAAAUAUACGUCAUUCAAACUCCUCCAGUCCUCCUAAGGAGGAGGGUGUUACAUAUUUAUUACACAUUUACAUUUACUGAUGGUCCGUAUUAGUGUACCACAAACAUUCGUAACGCAUUUUAGAAAUUCAAUGUCAUGAAAACAUCAUCGAUAUUAGAGGGGAAGUUUACACACAAAUUUUAGUGAGGAGGACCAGUCAUUCAUUUGCCGUAAAGGAAAGGCAAUAGACGGCUGUCUGACACCCGUCUAUUUCCUGCUUUUCUUUUCUUUCUCGUCGUAGUGAGUUGAUAACGGGGUAAGGGAGGAAGCUGAAUAAAAGAUAAAUACAAAUAAAAAACGAAUAAUAUAAUCGGUCUGUAAAGUAAGCUAGUUAAAGACAUGGGAAAGUUAGUAAGGAGCCUUUUUUUUCACUCGGGGUUUAAGAGGACUCCAGCCGUACUUCAGGUACGCUGGAUUCUUCUGAUGGUGUCCAGCAGGCUGAAGAUCGACAUCUGGAGUUUCGCUCUGAAUCCUGACCUCCUCCUUGUGCUUUUGUGGCUUCUGAGGCAAAGCAGAACAGCUGCUGAUCCUGAGCUACUCUUACAAAUGGAAGUUCAGUGAAGAGCUUCUCUCACACAACAUAUCCUCUAUUGGACCUGACUGAAGAGCCAGAGCCUGAUGUUCUCUACAGUCAUGGCCAGAAGAAGCUCCAGUGCCAGAAAUGAAUCACAAAGCUGAAUUCUAUGUAUAUUUACAUGGUAAUAAAAAGUCUGUAAAGUGGUGAUCUGUGUUGGGGUCCUUAAUGCUGACUGAAAAUAGUUUGUGACUUCUUAAUGAAAAGUGCCUUUAAAACUCUUUAUUUAAAUAAACAGAAAAUAUGCUUUUAAAAAUAUGACAGGAAGGGUUUUAUGGAAAUAAAGUAGGUGUAUUAUUUAGCAGUAUCUGAAAAUCCUUAUCAGGUGAUUAAUUGAAUUCACCCUGUUUUGGUGAACUUUGUGUAGAUUCACACUUUUAUUUAAAGCCAAUAAAUGUCUCGCCUUUUAAUUUGACUUUGUCUCUGUGUCCUGCAUUUGGUUGUGCUGUCAAGAAAGUGUUGGUCAUUUUACAACAUGAGCAUUAUUUUGUCUUUCCCUGAAGGAAUAUUCAGGAAAUGAGGAUUAAAACGAGCGUGUCUGUUCAUUUCCUUUUGAUUCAUGAACAGCCUGGAUCAGGUCCAGUGUGUAACAGCCUCAGUGUUUCCUGAACUGUUUGCCUCCAAUAACCUUUGUCUCUGCUGGGCUACACUGGGAAACUCUCCACACUGACAUUCAAAGGGAAAAAGAAUCAUUCUUGUGUGUGUUGCUUAAUUUCUACAGUUUAGACAAUUUAAUCAGUUUGUCAGCAAAUAAAACCUCUUACAUCCAUCAGAGAUGCUGGCUGUAACCUCGUGUUGUAGUGGAUUUUUGUAUGACAUGUAUACCUAUAAAUCUAACAUGAUGGAUUUUUGUACUUAUAUAUCGAUCUGAAUAACUUUCAUGUGGAGUUUUAGGCAUGCAGUGGUUCACACACACACACACACAAACACACACACACACCCACAAGUCAUGCAGCACACUCAUGAGGCAUAUCUUCACUGUCCUGUACACACACACACACACACACUAUAAACCUACACUGGAGUGUUUUAUUUUUAUGUUAUGCAUUUAACUCAUAUAUUUGAAGUAGUUAGGCCAAGUAUUAUUCACAUUAAUAUCAUAAUUAUCUUUUAAAAACUAUGCUAUUUGCUGUACUAAUGUGUGACCUUUGACCAUGUUGUGACCUAUUGUCAGAGGGUAAAGCAAAGGGUUAACCUAGGGGUGUCACUUUGGACCGGGCGUUCAGCCAGCGCCAGGUGUGAACUCUGGCCGGCAUUUGACCCUGCACCUGCUCCUGGGUGCGUGGGAAAGUUACUCAGCAGCAGGAGGUGGGACUACUGGUACCUUUAAAAGGGGGCCGGGGACAGCCCUCUGGGCUUUUUCCUGCUGUCUGUCCGUGGGGUCGGUCCCUACCUGCAUGCGCUUACUGCGAACACCCUAGGGGAGCUUUGCUUUUCCUUCUGUUUUGCUGAGCUACACUGUUCAAUAAAACAGCUGGCAUAGAACUUUGUUCCUCUCCUGUAAUUUUUGUGUUUUUGACUUUAAUUGGAAUUGGGAAGCUGAGAUCUACCUAUUGCUAAUCUGAAGAAUUACUCUCCAUUGUGACAACUACAGUGUUUGAGAUCGUUUCUCCUCCUGAUUAAUAGCUGUUAAAUUACUGCCUGUUUGUAUCUUGAGUGAGGACCUCUCCCUGUCUAACAGCACCACAUCACUGGCCAAGGAGGCUCAAACUCGCCUCUACUUCCUCGGAAAUUGAGGAGAGUACGAGUCCCACGUGUUCCUUCUACUGGGCAUUUUUAUAUAUAUAUAUGAAUGAGAUUCACAGCUUUAGCAAGGAUAAGCUUACCAAAAAAAUAAAAAAAAUACUACAGAAAGAAAAUAGCAAACUUUACAUGUUUCUGUCCAUAUUUGAUUCUUUAAAAUGUUUUCCCAUUAAGUCUAAAUGUUUCAGAACAGAUUCCACAUGUGCAGAGGCUCGUGGAAGACAAUCUGAGGGACUUCCUCUUUCGUCAAGUUGAGCACAGCCACAGAUCCGCUGGCUAACUCUUUCUUUUCUGUGAGCUGUUUUGUUUGGUUUUUUUGCCCUCUGUACAUGUAAAGAAGGACAGUCUUACAUGUCUGUUUUGGCAUUCUGAGGGACUUCCUCCUUCAUCGAAGUCUAACCACAAAUGCAGUGUUACUGUCACUUCUCACUACACUGCAUGAGCUGCAUGAGCUGUGGUUUUUCCAUUCUUGUUGUGACUAAUGUUUUUUCACAAAUCUGUCAGUCCAACACCACCUCAUCCUACAACCUAUAAUCUAAAAUUAAAGCUUAUAAGAGGUUUAUAAACUUAUUUUUUCCUCUUGGCAUAACCAGGCUUCAAACUUUACCAGCACCAACUGGACUGAGCUGUUAACAAGAAAACACCAAUAAAUCAAUAUAAUACAAAAUUGUGUGUGUUUGUAUUUUUUUCCCUCCAUGGUGUAAGUUACUGGUGUGCAGAUAUUGUGUAACUCGCUACAUGUAAGAACGGAUGGUGAAGUUAGACACAAUAGGAAGACAUGGAGACACUGAUGAGCAUCUCCAAGUAAAAGAACCAGUGUCUUUAUUUUAAAAAAGAAAAUUCAUUUUUUUUUAUUCAUUAGCAUUAUUAUUAUUGUUAUCAUUAGGCAGUAGGUUAGUUUCCUCUGGAGUAUCAGGUGACCUUGCAGAGCCAUUUGUAGAGACGUGCUGAUCUCCUGAUGACUGAUCAUUAUUGGUGGUGUGGCACCCGUUUAGUUGGUCUCCGGUCUCCUCAUCUCUUGUUUCUCUCCUCUGUUUCCGGCCCAAGAGGAAAGCCAGAGGACCAACGAUCCCAGAUGUUACAGCUGCUGUUACAAGGACUGUGAUCACUGUGAUCCAUGUCCUAUCAGAGGACUCUGAUGGCUGUCAGGACAAGAAGACAGGAACCAGGCAUGUUAGUGAGUGUGGUUUCAGCCAGCGUUAAUUUAAACGGAUGUUUCACGUGUCAUCAUUAAAAAUGUCCCCUUACACACAAACACUAACAGACAAUGAGCUCCACCCGUGAAGUGAACUGACUGUGCAAGGCAUCAAAUCCAGGUGUUGGUGGAAAGCCUGCGUGCUGUGACAUCACCUCACUGUCCUCCACUCAAACACUGACUCACUGCUCUGAAACACUGACUGCGGAGUUUGGCGCCAAACGCGCCAAUAACGAGGCAUCAGA